GCAAAACACCAGUAAUGAUUGGGACGACGGAUAAUUGAGAUGUUCUUUUCCAUGACAAUGGCAAAGGAACCUAUACUGACCUAAAGAUGACAUUUCCUACACCAGGAGAUGAUGACCUCAUGGCUUUUGAUGUAAACAACACUGGGGAUCUGUAUAAUAUAAAGGACUCAGAAACCCUUUGCCCUUUGACUAGCAACGGAAUAAUUGCAUGUAAUAUUCAGGGUACCAGCAACGCAGAAGAAAAAUGAAAGCACGGAGAAUUCAGAAUGAACUUAGAAAAUAAAAUAUCCAUUACGGCUUAAGGAGGUGCAUUCGAUAUGGUCUCAAAGCACAGUUAAUGCCCAAUGUCAUGGUCAAUCUUGAGAAUUUCAUCUGUUUUUUAUAAUACGUAUUUUUUUUUAAAUCAGAAGCAUGCUCCAAUAUUGACAGGUAUAGAAGAUUCGGCUGGUGACAUCCAGAAAAUUUUUCCGCUUCUUAGAAUUCAAGUGCUGAAUUUCUUGUCAAGAUCGUUUUGAUAAUAAAAUUAUCGUUUCAUAUUA
Stegodyphus dumicola is the source of this 539-nucleotide long non-coding RNA. RefSeq lists it as uncharacterized. The record is from RefSeq and is a predicted model, not a curated record. Lineage: Eukaryota; Metazoa; Arthropoda; Arachnida; Araneae; Eresidae.